This 73-nucleotide transfer RNA is filed under the name Aythya nyroca. Its description in RNAcentral is "tRNA-Asn". Lineage: Eukaryota; Metazoa; Chordata; Aves; Anseriformes; Anatidae. The record is from RNAcentral.
UAGGCAGAAGCCAGUGGGCUAAGGCGYUUAGCUGUUAACUAAAACUUUACGGGAUCGAAGCCCGUCUGUCUAG